RNAcentral lists this unclassified non-coding RNA (211 nucleotides) under Hevea brasiliensis (rubber tree). The record is from RNAcentral. Lineage: Eukaryota; Viridiplantae; Streptophyta; Magnoliopsida; Malpighiales; Euphorbiaceae.
AUUUUAUUCAGAGUCUAACUUGCAUUUUUCCCCGCGGGGUACAAUACUAUUAAUUAGAAAUUUUUAUUAAUUUAUUAGUUUAUUUAAUAAUUUAUUUUAUUCUCAAAACUACACUAUUUUAUAAAAUAUAUGGUAUUAAUUAAUGAUAUUAUAUGGUUUAUGCAUGUUGGGUAUCAAGGUUGAGUUGGACUUCCCUAAUUGUGAAUUUCAG